AUUCCAGCUCCAAUAGUGUAUAUUAAAGUUGUUGCAGUUAAAAAGCUCGUAGUUGAACUUCUGACAGUGUGCAGUUUUGGUUGUUAUCAGGCUGCAUUGCUGUCAUCCGUCUGCAAACCCCGUACAACCUUGAGUGGAUUGGCGGGGGGAGUAGACAUUUUACUUUGAAAAAAUUAGAGUGUUUCAAGCAGGUUAUUGCCAGAAUACUUUAGCAUGGAAUAAUGGAAUAGGACUCUUGUCCAUUUGGUUGGUUAUUGGACACGAGUAAUGAUUAACAGGGACAGUUGGGGGCAUUAGUAUUUAAUUGUCAGAGGUGAAAUUCAUGGAUUUAUUAAAGACUAACUUAUGCGAAAGCAUUUGCCAAGGAUGUUUUUUCAUUAAUCAAGAACGAAAGUUAGGGGAUCAAAGACGAUCAGAUACCGUCCUAGUCUUAACUAUAAACGAUGUCGACUCGGGAUUGGAAAGGUAAUUUUAUCCUUUCCAGCACCGUAUGAGAAAUCAUUAAGUCUUUGGA
RNAcentral lists this ribosomal RNA (514 nucleotides) under uncultured marine eukaryote. RNAcentral describes it as "SSU rRNA". It matches the Rfam family "Eukaryotic small subunit ribosomal RNA", at positions 582 to 1111 of the family's 1831-position model. The record is from RNAcentral.